This 258-nucleotide ribosomal RNA is filed under the name uncultured bacterium. RNAcentral describes it as "partial 16S ribosomal RNA". It matches the Rfam family "Bacterial small subunit ribosomal RNA", at positions 524 to 781 of the family's 1533-position model. The record is from RNAcentral.
UACGGAGGGGGUUAGCGUUGUUCGGAAUUACUGGGCGUAAAGCGCACGUAGGCGGAUUAGAAAGUUAGAGGUGAAAUCCCAGGGCUCAACCCUGGAACUGCCUUUAAAACUCCUAGUCUUGAGUUCGAGAGAGGUGAGUGGAAUUCCAAGUGUAGAGGUGAAAUUCGUAGAUAUUUGGAGGAACACCAGUGGCGAAGGCGGCUCACUGGCUCGAUACUGACGCUGAGGUGCGAAAGUGUGGGGAGCAAACAGGAUUAG